Molecule: long non-coding RNA, 682 nt
Organism: Phyllopteryx taeniolatus (common seadragon)
Lineage: Eukaryota; Metazoa; Chordata; Actinopteri; Syngnathiformes; Syngnathidae
Exons: 3
Source: RefSeq, a predicted model, not a curated record
AGCAUCUUUUACAGGGAAGGUCUUUAUUUGGAAAAAUAAUCAACAAUGCUAGCGGUAUAGUACAGUUUACAUCAAAUGAAAUUGUCAAAUGUGAAGGAAUGGCAAGAAACAAGGCAGACUGGACAUAGGGCGCACACAACACUGUGGAGAGACCACAUGUCAGGAGUCUACUGGAAGGCUUUUAAGAUGCCGCCUCCACAACAUAAAGCCUGGUCUAUUCACACCUCGGAGCUGCCAUACGAAGACCCAACACGCCAAAGUGGGCAGACUGAGCGCCAGCUGUUUCCAAAGAUCAUUGUUACAAGAAUAUCUUAGCGCUUCCUUCUACUUCAGUAAACAAACUCACAGCCCAGCAAAUCUUAUCGAGGAUUUCAGGGAGGACGGAGGGCCAGAUCCUGUUUAUUUGUCUGUCGGGAUUGUUGACAGCGAGGAAGCGUGAGGUCACCUGCUAGCGGCUAUCGACAUCAUCAACACUUCAUCGGCGGUGCUACAACAACAAAAAAUAUCCCCGCUUUUCAUCGCAGAGAGCUUUCUGCGGGAAAAAAAUGCUCACAAUGAACAUCUCCAUUUACUUCGUCACGUGAAUAUUUGUUAAAGUGAACAUAUGGGAAUUUGACUUUAUGUGGGGGGCUCUUCAUCCUUAAGCUACUGGAGGUCAAACACAGACACAACUCUCAGCGAC